Molecule: non-coding RNA, 399 nt
Organism: Pantherophis guttatus
Lineage: Eukaryota; Metazoa; Chordata; Lepidosauria; Squamata; Colubridae
Source: RefSeq, a predicted model, not a curated record
GGGCGGGAUGGGUGGCUAUUACCAGUUGGACAAGCAAACCAGAAUCUAAAUACGUUCUCAACCUCUGUUUUAGGAGCGAUUUAUUGUGAUUAUUAAUUUAUAGCUGUCCUCAGUCUUGAGUUCUUUGCCAUGCAUUCUUCUCCUGUUCUCAUAAGUCUUUUUCAGUGUGGUGUUGGGCAGAUAGAUGGAAUCAACGGUUGAAAGGAAACGGUGGGAGCAGUUGAAGUAUGCCAGUAUGGACUCUAUAGGCGGCCCUCAGAAAAAAGUGCAACAAAAAAAAUUGAAAUGAAAUGUUUUCUAUUUGAGAAGAGGAAAACACAAGAACAUGGAACCAGCAAAAAAAUAAGAUUUUAUCGUAUUAGGAUAUACAUUCAUGAUUAAAGUGGCAAUAGAAUUAUU